CCUGCCUCAGCCUCCCGAGUAGCUGGGAUUACAGGCAUAGGCCACCACACCCAGUUAAUUUUUAUAUUUUUAGUAGAGACGGGGUUUCACCACGUUGGCCAGGCUGGUCUCGAACUCCUGACCUUAGGUAAUCCACCCACCUCGGCCUCCCAAAAUGCUGGGAUUACAGGCAUGAGCCACCGCCCCUGGUAUUCUCAAUUUUUUUAAAUAAGAGAUUUAUAUUGCUUGACAUUUUGCAUAUAAAGUGAGACUCUUUUAAAAAUAUACAUCAUGCUAUUUCAACAAGCUGGUGCUCCCGGGGAUGUCCAUGGGCUGUCCAACUGCCCCCGGGGCACCAGCUUCUGUUUUUUAUGCUGACUUUGGGCACUGAACUCUCCUUGGCUCCCAGAGGUCCUGACCAGGCUGGUCCUGCCAUCCACAGCGGUGCCUCUGCUAGCGACAUCCCUGCCCAAUUUUCCAUGUCCAGCUUUGACACCUCCACAGAAAGGCUGAGCCACCACCGGGCCCCCAUUGUGGCUGAGCAUCCACUCUCUCUUCCCCAUGUGCUCCUUGCCCCCGACUCCCCAUCUCUGGAACCCAAGUUUGGGCUGCAUGGACCACCUUCUGGGCCAGGCUGUUAGGAGGCCACCACCAAGCAGCAAACGCAGGAGCAGCCGUGCCCUGAGGAGGCACCACCAGCAGCCUCCAGCAGCACUCGGAAAGUGCACAAUCUUUUGAGGCCUCACACAGAUGGUGGUGUGAAAGGGUCAAGGCUGUGGAGGCCUGCUAGAGGGCCGAGUUCCAUUUCCCCUUAGAGUGAGUGCAGGGUCAGCCUCUCAGGGCUCGGGGGCUUCAGUGGCCCUGCCUCGGAGAGCUCCAGCCAAUGGCCAUGUCACGCGUGAGGCAGCUGAGGGGCCAGGGCAGCAGAGCAAGGUCUGUUGCCAGGAACUGACUGCCCUGCCUCCCAGCAGCAGGUCAGAGGUGGGGCAUCUGGGACAGGUGGCCACAGCAGCCUGGAGACAUCGCAGAAGGAGACCUUCCGUAGAACACCAGGAGCCCAGCAGUGAGGGGCUACAGGACCAGGACCCAGGGUGAACCAGGACCCAGGGUGACCCAGGACCCAGGGUGAACCAGGACCCAGGGUGAACCAGGAGGGUGAAAGGCCAGGUACUGCCCAGCUAAGGGCUGCAGCAGGCACCGCCUGCUAGGAGAGUCGCAAAGGACAUCCACACAAGUGACCACAAGCUCAAAGUCAACUUGAAACAUGGGCCACAGAUCGCCUGAAGCCAGCUUACCCCCUUGGGACACAGAACAGCCCCCAAAGACGUCCAUGACCUAAUCCCCAGAACCUGCGCAUAUGUUACCUGACACGGCAAGAGGGACUUCGCAUAUGCGACUGAGUUAAGGACUUUGAAAUGAGGCGAUUAUCCUGGAUUACCCAGGUGGGCCCCAGGCAAUCACAGCAAUCCUAAUGGGGGAAGACAGGAGGCUCAGGGUUGGGAGGAGACCGCGAUGGAAGUAGGGAAGCAGGUGGGGGCAGGAGGCACUGGACAGUGCCACGCUACCGCCCUGAAGAUGGAAGAGGGAAGGGAAUCUCCUCUAGAGCCUCCACAGAGGACACCAUGCUGCUGACCCCUUGAUUUUAGGCUUCUGAUUGCGGGACUGUAAGAACACAUUAACGUGUCUUCAGCCACUGAGUUUUUGGGUCAUUUCUCAUAGCACCAAUGGGAAGCCAACAUCUCACCCCACUGGGCAAGUGAAAACUUCCCGUGCCCUAUCCCUCCUUCCGAGCCGGAAGGGGGUCACAAAUCAGGCGGUCAGACACCAAAAAUAAAAAUAUAGGUGGCCAGGUACAGUGGCUCACGCCUGUAAUCCCAGCACUUUGGGAGGCCGAGGCGAGCAGAUCACAAUGUCAGGAGUUCGAAACCAGCCUGGCCAACAUGGUGAAACCCUGUCUCUACUAAAAAACAAAAAUUAGCCAGGGGCGGUGAUGCACUCCUGUAAUCCCAGCUACUCAGGAGGCUGAAAAAGGAGAAUUGCUUGAACCCGGGAGGCAGAGUUUGCAGUGGGCCAAAAUCACGCCACUGCACUCCAGCCUGAGUGACAGAGCCAGACUCCAACUCAAAAAAAAAAAAAAAAAAAAUAGAGGAUAGUGGCCAGGUGCAGUGGCUCCCAAUGCUUUGGGAGACCAAGGCAGGAGGAUUGCUUUAGUCCAGAAGUUCAAGACCAGUCUGGAGAACAUAUUGAGACCUUGUAUCUUAGACAAAAAUUAGCCUGGCAUGGUGGUGCAUGAAUUUUAAAUUCAUGAAUAGCCUGUGGCCCCAGCUACUUGGGAGGCUAAGAUAGGAGGAUCACUUGAGCCUACGAGGUCAAGGCUGCAGUGAGCUAUGAUCGUACCACUGUACUCCAGCCUCGGCAACAGAGUGAGAUCCUGUCAAAAAAAAAAAAAAAAAAGCCCAGCUAAGUUUGAGUUUCAAAUACUUUUUUUUUAGUAGAAAAAGACCCCAAUAUUGCAUGAGAUGUAAUUAUACUAAAAAAGUGUUCACUCUUUAUCUGAAAUGCAAACUUAGCUUGGCAUCCUGUUAUCUGGCAAUCCUCAUCAAAAACAGCAGCUACAUGGAAGGAGGGUAGCAGGGAAGAGAAAAACCACAGUCCCUGCUGCCCCAGUAGGCUCUUGGGGGCAUGGGGGAAAGCUAAUGGUAAGUCAGCAUCCACAUUUUACUACCUGGGACCGAACAUUUUAAAUUCAUGAAUAGAGACUGCUUUUGAUCUAAAGUGGUACCAGGAACUAAUUCCCUAGGAAUAGUCAAAAAAAAAAAAAAAAAAUCACGGGAAAGGUCUGGGCUUUUCAUAGCGUAGAAAGAAGGGACAAGAGGGCAGCCCUCUUCCCGCGUUCCCACUGAGCAGGUUUGAGGGGCAGCAGGAAACAAGGCUGACUGCAUUGUGGCACCCCUCCAGGCUGCCUUGGACGAGUUAAGAUGGGAUCCGUCAGCUUGGUCCCUAACCCCAGGUAAAGAUGGAACAGAUGCUGGCUGUGACCAGGAGUCCUGAAUUUGCCUUGCACCAUUUCCCUCCACCGGACUGGGAGCCACUGCGGGGCAGGAAGCUGCCUUUUCCAUUUCCCAAGACCGGAAUCAAUCACAGCGGCUCAUCGCAUCAUGCAUCCUCUGCAAUGGUUCCUUCCUUUCCAGGGAGGUUGGUCACGGCCAAUGCUGUCCUGUGUCCACCAGGUGGCGCUCGCGAUCACCGCAAAACACAUGGCUACCGUGAUGGUUUUUAAAUAAGAAAUCUUACAAUGGUUUUAGACAUAAAGGACUGUUGAGAAUAUGAUAGAGAGUUCGUGUGCGACCCGCACCCUGUUCCACUGCGCCUUAACAUCUGACAUGACUCUGGUCCAUCUGUCACCAUGAAGGAGCCAAUUCAUAUAUGAAGACAGCCAUGCACGGAGGGAAGGUAUUGUGAAGAGUCACACAGGAAGACAGCGUCCACAGGCCUCGAGAUGCACCAGCCCUGCUGACACCUUGACUUUGGGUUUGUGGCAUCCAGAGCUGUGAGGAAGUCGAUUUCUGGUGAUUUUAACCCCCUGCCCGCAGUUUGUGGUACAGCAGACCUAGGAAAUGAAUCCACAGUCCCUAUCCAAAGUUCACCUGUGGUUUUCUUAAAAAUACCCAUGGCGGAGCCCACACUAACGAUUCCGAUGUCCCAGGUCUGGGCGGGGCUCAGGUGUGGGUGCUUUUAAAACUGAGACUACACUGCAGGCAAGGCCAGCGUGGAGUCACGAAGCUGCUCUCCUGGUUAACCAGGAAACAGCAGCCAGGUGGUGUAGGGCGCCUGAGGACAGUCACUGAAGUGUACCUGAGAAGGUGGGGAUGACCCUGGAUGGCAGAUGCACGCGGAUGCAUGUUCCGAGCUAGGGAAUCUGGGUUGGCCAACCCCGAGAUCCGUUCCUUGUCUAUGAGACACAUCUGAGCCUCAGUUCCCUCUCCCCCACCCCAACCCCAGCCUGGCCCGUGGAACACGAGCUGUACAGGAGGUUGAGGCCCUGAGUUUUUGGUUAAAUGCAGGUUGCCAGGUGGAGGCCGUUAGGGGGAGGGGGUUAAAUGAAAAUGCUGGGUAAACUGCACGAUGUUUGCAGACGGCCGUGGCUCUCCUGUGCAGCCCGCUCUCCCCUGUCCGUACGCCGCAGUAAAACCUGUGUCUCGUUCACUGUCUCUGAGUCUCUUCGUUGGCCUCUUGAACCUGGUGCCUUCCCUAUUGAGGUUAAUAGGGGUUUCGGCACAAAGGAUGGACCCUCAUCUGCCGCCUGCUGUUUUGCGGGGAAAGGGUAGUAAGUUAUUUGGAGAGAGAAAUACCCAACACCAGGGCUGGAACCCCGGCAGCUCUGGUCCUCAGUGUGGGUUUUGACUCACAGCAGCCCCUUAGGAACUUGUUAAACUACAAAAAUCCUCAAGCCGCACACACAGCUCUUGGGUCAGAGAUUCCUGGAGUGGGCUGCUGACUGCAUUUUGAGGAGCCGUCCUGGGGGCUCCGAUGCAGGCUUGAGAGUGAGAACCCGGACGAGAAGACGUGCAGGCCCCACGCUGUGUGCACUCAGGCAGCCCCCGGACCAACCCACAGGGGUUUCAGUGUGAUCAGCUCUGUCUACAACAAGGUGUAAAGAAACAAAAUCCCACAACCACAGCCCCUGACCUGGGAGUUUCCUUCAUCAUCCGCAAACACAGUAACAUUUUCAAAAAGUCCUAAAGACUUAAGAAAAAGGCAACUUCCUCUCCACCUCCUCCAGACCUGCUCCCUGGAGGCAACCGCCACGAGAAGCUUCCCGUGGAUUUUCCCAAAGUUCUAGAGGUGCAUAUUCACCUCCACCUACAGCCUUUAAACAUGGACACACGGGAAGCAGACGACUGUCUUACUCCUUGACUUUUUUCUCGUUUAACAAUAUAUUAGGAGCUCACGCCAAUCUACGUUUUCCUAACCUGCCACUGUCUAAGUCGAUAAUAAUUUAUUGAGCCAAUUCCCGUUGAGAGGCACUUCAGUUGCUCCGUCUUUUGCUUUUAUGUACAACACUUGUUUAACAUCCUAGUAUGCACAUCUUCCUACAUACAGAUGGCUAAAUAUUGUUCCCAGACUGUGGGUUUCAUAGGCAAGUUAAAACAUCAAGAGAGUAAUCCAAAGCUGUCUCUUAUUUCACCCACUAAGGAUAUUUAAAAGAAAAAAAAAAGUAAUACCCUUUAUCAUUGCCUGUUUCACAAAAUAAAGUCAUUUUAACCUAAACCUUAGAAAAGACAGAUUCAAAAAACCAAAGUGAACACAUCGCUUUCUCACGUGACCAGGGAUCUGCAGCUCUCCAACACGGUUCUUCAAAGGAAAAGGGGAGAUGAGAUGAGUAGCACGCCCAAGCCCCCACCAGCUGUAGCUGCUCCCCCUCCCGCCUCCCAAGGGCACAAUUCUGUAAGAGGAACUCCUACCGCCUCCCUCCAUCCUGUCUGCAAUUAUAUCGCCCUGAUUUCCCAGGCUCUUCUAAUUUAGAGUGAGCGUGUCCAUUCUCAUUGGGUGCUUGGAGAAGGUAAUUCCAUCCAGGUGCCUAAUGAGACCAGCAGGCCACUGGACAGCUGUCGGGUUUUCAAAGAAAUCUGUUAGCAGGUGCUCACCA
This 5629-nucleotide long non-coding RNA is filed under the name Homo sapiens (human). Its description in RNAcentral is "HSALNT0234521". The record is from RNAcentral. Lineage: Eukaryota; Metazoa; Chordata; Mammalia; Primates; Hominidae.